UAGGGNACAUCUUCGGCAAUGGGGGGAACCCUGACCGAGCAACGCCGCGUGAGUGAAGAAGGUUUUCGGAUCGUAAAGCUCUGUUGUUAAGGAAGAACGAGUGUGAGAAUGGAAAGUUCAUACUGUGACGGUACUUAACCAGAAAGGGACGGCUAACUACGUGCCAGCAGCCGCGGUAAUACGUAGGUCCCGAGCGUUGUCCGGAUUUAUUGGGCGUAAAGCGAGCGCAGGCGGUUAGAUAAGUCUGAAGUUAAAGGCAGUGGCUCAACCAUUGUAGGCUUUGGAAACUGUUUAACUUGAGUGCAGAAGGGGAGAGUGGAAUUCCAUGUGUAGCGGUGAAAUGCGUAGAUAUAUGGAGGAACACCGGUGGCGAAAGCGGCUCUCUGGUCUGUAACUGACGCUGAGGCUCGAAAGCGUGGGGAGCGAACAGGAUUAGAUACCCUGGUAGUCCACGCCGUAAACGAUGAGUGCUAGGUGUUAGGUCCUUUCCGGGACUUAGUGCCGCAGCUAACGCAUUAAGCACUCCGCCUGGGGAGUACGACCGCAAGGUUG
RNAcentral lists this ribosomal RNA (552 nucleotides) under uncultured bacterium. RNAcentral's name for it is "bacterial SSU rRNA". It matches the Rfam family "Bacterial small subunit ribosomal RNA", at positions 353 to 896 of the family's 1533-position model. The record is from RNAcentral.